CAAAAUAAAUAAACUUAAAAAAAAAAGUAAAACAAGCAGUGAGCUGAUCUAUGUUCACAGGUGACAUGAUAUUAUAUGUAAAAAACCCUAAACAUUCCACCAAAAACUGUUAAACAAAUUUAGUAAAGUAACAAGAUACAAAAUCAACACACAAAAAUCAGUUUUGUUUCUACAUAUUCAACAAUCUGUAAAAGGAAUUAAGGAAACAAGUCCAUUUGUCAUAGACUCAAAAAGAAUAAAAUACUUAGGAAUAGAUUUAAUCAAGGGGGCAAAGGACUUGUACAUGAAAAACUAUAAAACUUAGCUGAUAGAAAUUAAAGAUAAAUAAAUGGAGAGACAUACUGUGUUUGCAGAUUGGAAGACAUAAUAUUGUUAAGCUAACAAUACUACCCAAAGUGGUCUAGACAUUCAACAUAAUUUGUGACAAAAUCCCAGUGAAAUUGAUAUAUAAAAUAUAUAAUAUGGAAUAUAGUGUGUGUGUGAAAAUAGAAAAACCCAUCCUAAAGUUCAUAUGGAAUCUCAAACAACCCUGAAUAACCAAAACAAUCUUGAAAAAGAAGAAGAUGAAAGACUUGAAUUUCCUGACUUUAAAACUUACUACAAAAGCUACAGUAAUUAAAACAGUGUGGUAUUGAUAUAAAGACAGACAUAUAGACCAAUGGAACAGAAUAGAGAGCCCAUAAAUAACCUUUCAAAUGUAUGGUCAAAUGAUUUUUAACAAGGGAACAAAGACUAUUCAAUGGAAAGGACAGAAUUUUCCACAGAUGAUGCUAGGAAGACUGGAUAUCCACAUCCAAAAGAAUGAAAUUAGAACCUUAUUUUGUACUGUAUUUAAAAAAUUAACUCAAAUGGAUCAAAGACAAUAAAGAGCUAAAACUACACAGCUUUGGGGUGUCUGGCUGGCUCAGUCAGUUAAGUGUCUGACUUUGGCUUAGGUCAUGAUCUCAUGGUUCAUGAGUUCGAGCGCCACUUUGGGCUCUCUGCUGUCAGCACAGAGCCUGGUUUGGAUCCUCUGUCCCCUUUUCUUUCUGCCCUGCUCCUGCUUGCACACACACACUCUCUCUCGAAAGUAAAUAAACACUUAAAAAAUAAGAAUAGAAUAAAGCUAUACAGCUUUUAGAAGAAAACCUUCUUCUUUUAGGGGAAACCUUCAUGACAUUAGAUUUGGCAAUGAUGUCUUGAAUAUGACACCAAAAGCACAGGCAACAAAAGAAAAACUAAAUAAAUUGAGCUCAAUUAAAAUUAAAAACUUUUGUGCAUCAAAUGAUACUAGGAGACUGAAGUGAUAACCCACAGAAUGGGAGGAAAAAAAUGCCAAUCACAUAACUGAUAAGGGAUUAAUAUCCAGAAUAUAUAAAGAAUUCCUAAAACUCAACAACAAAAACCAAAUAACCCAAUUGAAAAAUGGUCAAAGAACUUGACUAGACAUUUCUCUAUAGAAUGUAUACAAAUGGCCAAUAAGCACAUCAAAAAUGCUCAGCAUCACUAGUCAUUAAGGAAAUGCAAAUCAAAAAACCCCAAUGAGAUACCAUUUCAUAACCAAUUAAAAUAGCUAUUAUCAAAAUAAAAAUAAACAGAAAAUAAAUGAUAGAGAGCUUGUGGAGAUAUUGGAGCACUUAUGCAUUGCUUGGUGGCAUGUAAAAUGGUCUAGCUACUAUGGAAAGCGGUUUGGUGGUCCUUCAAAGAGCUAAGCAUAAAGUUACCAUACGAUCCAGCGAUUUCACUCCUGGAUAUGUAUGGAAAGGAAUCAAAAGCAGGGACUCUAACAGAUACUAACAUGUCAACGUUCAUAGUAGCAGUAUUCACAAUAGCCAAAAGGUGGAAACAACCCAAGUCUGCAUCAACAGAGAAUGAACGAAGUAUGGUGUAUACAUAUAACAGACAUUUAUACAUAUAAUAGACCAUAAAAGGUAAUGAAAUUCUGAUAUACACUACAACAUAGAUGAAUCUUGAAGGCAUUUUGCUAAGUGAAAUAAGCCAGAACAAAAGGGCAAAUAUUAUAUGAUUUCACUUAUCUGAGGUACUUAGACUAGACAAAGUCACAGAAACAGAAAGUGGAAUAGAGGUUACCAGCACUGGAUGGGGUGGAUGUGUGGAGAUUUAUUGUUUAUUCAUUUGUUAAUUUUAUGGGAAUUUAUUAUUUAAUGAGUACAGAGUUUCUGUUUAGGGUUAUAAAAAAAAUUGUGGAAAUAGUGGUAAUGGUUGCACAGCAUUGUGAAUUUAUUUAAUGCCACUGAGGUGUACACUUGAAAAUGGCCAAAAAGUAUAUUUUACUAUAAUAGAAAAAUAUAUGGGGGGUGAGGGAAGAGACAGAGAGAGAGAGAGAGAGAGAGAGAGAGACUAAGUUAUCAACGGUGAACGAUUAGAGUGUCCCUCAGUACUACCACUUCCUUCGCCCAAGCUGGCCUGGUACAGACUAUCUCCAAAUGACUUGACAAAUGUUCCCUGGUCAUAAUACCUGCAGACAAUAGGGAAGAAGAAGGGAGAAAGAAAGAUCUCACCCAAUGUCUGACUCUGGCUGGCUCCUGAUUGGAGAGGGGUCUCUGGUUAGGAUACAGGGACACCUAAGGGAUGGAUUUUUGUCUUUCAACCUUGAUAAGUUAAUCCUUCACCUUCUGGAGUUGCCCACUUGCUAUCUCCGCUCCUUUCACAAAGCAACUGUGAAAUGAGGGUCUCAGACCAGACUUAAAGAAGCCCCAUAAGUUUUCAAGACCAUCACAUCCCUCACAGCCCCUGUAUCCAUGCAUCUCUAAAUGAAUCCACAUUUUCCAGUCUUCUGUUUUACCUUUGCCUUAACAUCUAAAUAAUAGGGGUUGAGCAUCCAUUUCAGCACCAUGGGAAGCCAGAGUCUUUCCCAGAGUCCUCUCCAAUAUUUCCCAUGAUCCUGCUUGUGAGUUUAUAUCCUCAUGGCCAUAUUUACCUUCUAAUUCUUGCACUUAGGAAAUUCUUGAUUCUCACUUACAUUUUGCUCCCUACCCCCACACUAGGGCAGCUGUUCUUCCAAACCCCUGUCUUGUCUACUGUUCAGACUACAGCUGAUUUUUCUUCCCCUAGAGCAACAUGAACACACGGCUAUUGUGCUUAACAGACUUUCCCAAGGGCUAGAAAUAGCUAGCUGGUUGGCACAAGGAAGGAAAAAAACUACAUACUGAAGGUCAGACACCACUGUUUCUAGAAACUUGUUGGCCCUUUUCUUAUAGGGAAGAUUUUUCACUGGCCAUGCCCACACUUAGUUGCUGAGGAUCCUUUCUCUGAAGACCCUUUCAACUAUCUACUCUCUUUUAAGGUCCCAACCUUGUGCAAUUUCAAAAUGUCUGUUUAGCAGCUCAUAAAGCAGUCUUACUUUUAACCUCCAGCAUCCCGCUGAACGCUGAGAUCUCCCUUUGCACAUCUAAAAAUCCCUUUAAGGAAUAUUCCUCAACCCCGUUCGGUACACAAAGAACAAGAGAAACUCUGAAAUUACAUCUUCUUUAAAGAAUCACAUCUUUAAUCUUUAAUCACAUCUUCUCUCUAAAUCACAUCUUGGGAAGGCAAGACUUACUCAUCCACAAACCAGAGCCAAUCCCAGAGGCUGUGGAAUUCUCUUCCCAUCACAUGUUCCUUUGGGUUUUAGCAAAACUGGAGAUAGGGACUCAGCCUAGCUGGGGCACUGUAAGGGCUUCCAUGGAUGACAAGGGUUGUUGGGUUAUCUAGACAAAGGUGUUUGGGGCUGUAGACAAGCAAAUGUGCAAUCCUGGGCCCUGAUCACUGUAGGGUGAGCCAGGCAAGAAUACUCAGGGAUGGUGCCCAGUGAGAUCAAGUUCUUGACCUGUCACUUCCUUCUGUGUAUAGAGACUCUUCGGGUAAAGCGAGUCUCAGAUUGUGAUUGAGCAGGUUAUGGAGAAAAGGAAAUUCAUCUGGACUGAAAGGUUCUAGAGGGAAAUGGUGUCAUUGCCAAUGUUGGAAGAAGUAGAACCAGGAGAGAGGCCAAUCUCACUCUGCUUGAGUAAUGAAGACAUUCUGGCAAUGCCACAGGAUGGACACAUGGGAUAGAAUGGAGAAUGCAGAAACAGACCUGUGCAGAUUUAGAACUUUGAAAAGUGACAGAGUUGACAUGGCUGAUUGAGGGGAAAAGGGGAGCUCUUCAACAAACAAAGCUGAAAAAAAUGAUUAUCCAUAUGGGAAAAGAGGAAAUAUAUUCCCUAUCUCACACCAUAUAAAAAUAAACAGUUUCAGAUUGACUUAACUGUCAAAGAGAAAAGUUUAAAAAAACUUUUAACUUUAGAUUUCAAAUCCUAGAUUUAAAAGAACACAUAAAUGAGUAUCUUUUAGACCUUGGGGCAGGGAAAAGUUUGUCAAACAAAUACAGAAAGUGUUAAUCUUAGAGAUAUUAAAACAACAUCAAAUGAAACUUCAUUAAAGAAACUGAAAAGACAAAUUACAAACAGGUUGGCUUAAAGAAUAUACAAAGAACUCCUAUAAGUCAAUAAGAAAAGCAUAAACAGCCCAGUAGAAAAAUGGGCAAGAGACAUGGACAGGCAUUCACAGAAGAGGAAACAUAAAGCCAAUGAACAAACUCAACCUCAUUAGUGAUCAGAGAAGUGCAUCCAUUCAUUUGGAAACUUUAAGAAUUUGAACCAAUGUUGGAGAGGAUGUAGGUCCACACAUCUCUCAUUGCCUAUGGGUGUGUAAAUUGUUACAACUACUUUGGAAAAUCUUCCCAUAUGCCACCACAUAGUAAUUUCACUCCUAGUUACAUAGACAAAUUUUUCACACCCACCAGAAGACAUUUCAUGGCAAUAUUGCUCACAAUAGCAGUGAUAAGAAAAUAGACUGUAACAUGAAUAAUUCAUACAAUAAUAUUAUACAGUGUUCGAAAGGAAUGAACCACUGUGACACACAAUGUGGAUCAACCUUACUAUCAUAUUCAGUGCAAAAGUAAAUCCCAAAAUAUAAUUUAUGACAAUUAUACUCAUUUUACAAAAUUAAAAAAAAAUAAAGUAAAUAUAAGAAUACAUAUAAACUGGAUAAAAUAAUGUAAAAAGGAAAGCAGGAAAUGAUGCUUCUGGAAUUUAGUAUAUUGGUUACAUUACAUUGGUGGAGGAGGCAGGGAGGAUAGGAUGAAGAAAAACCAUGUGCUGGGUGGUAUGUUUCUGGGAGUUUGUCUUUAAAAAUAAAAAUGAAACAAAACAGCAAAGAAACCCAAGUAGGGUUGUGCAUGAAACAAAGAUAAGAGUGUAUCAAGAAAUAAGUAUUAUGAUUAGUACAGUUCAGUGCAACUGAAAUCUACUUAAGGAAAUAAAAGGGGGUGGGGAAAAUUAAGUGUGAUUGUAGUGGAAAAGCUGAGGGUUUCUAAUGAGAAGAUCCCAGUGUGUAACUUUGGGAAAGUAGUGUAAUCACUCAGAGGCUCUGAUUCCUGCUCCAUACGAUGGGUGAGAGUACCAAACGCUACACCAAAUAGGUUUGUUGUGAGGGUUAAUAAGAACCUGAAUAUGAAAGCCAUGUGUCUGUCCAGUGCCCAAAACUGCACCAACAGUGUCUGCCUCUUGACGUUCCCCUCUGCUGUGCACACAAUCCGCACAUUUGUGUGCUUGAAGAUUAGGGUAUAGCGGAUACUAGGGACACCUUAAUGAGAAGUCACAGAAGAUCAAUAAUCAGAAUGAGGGGAAGCAAGGGUAGCCCAGCUCCUCUGUCUGGGUGAUAAUUAGGUUGGGGAUUUGGAGGCUGAUUAAACAUAUCAAAGCCUGUGUUUUUUCUCAAGAGUGAAGCGCCCCCCUACCUCCUCCUUUAUAAUCUUUUGUAUCUCAGCAAUGCCCUGGUGGUGAUGUCAGUCAGAAAGUACUUUGUUUUUUAAUUUCAGGUUUUAGAGGCAGCUUAGCAUGGUGGAAUACACAUAAGCUUCUGUAGCAGAUUGCUAGGGCUUCCUCAUUUCUGAUUUUCCUCUUUCCUGAACACAGAGGAGUCAGGUGGGGGCAUGUGAGUGAUCUGUUCACAGAAUAUGGGUGGAAGUGACACCGUCCCGUCAUGUUCACGUCUAGCCGUGGAAGCUCCGCACAACCUUCCAGCCCCCUCUUCCUCCGAUAGACGGAUCGUAAAGGCCACACGUCAGGGUGGAGGAAACCAGAUGGAAAGAGAAAGCGUUGCUGAAUGGCGUCAAGGAGGGCAGCAACUCUGGAAAGACGCUCAGACCUGUAGCAGCUUUUGGAUGGGGAUGCUAUGGGGUUCCACGGAGGCUAUCACAAAGGGAAGCAUCCAGCUCAGCGCAAAGUACAUGGCAAUAGUCCUUCCGGAUGAAUAGAAUCUGAAAUGUGAAUUUCCAAGGAAGAGGCAGGACCACCCACUGGGACAGCAUCAUCCCGAUGACCACAGCUCGUUUAUGGCAUGUUGGUAUCAUCCCUCUUUCUUCUUCCUUCCUGGAAGCUCCUCAGUCUCCCUGUGUCUCUGUGGUUCCAUGUAAUGGACGUGCUGACUUUGUGUUUGAGGGAGUUGUUCCUUGGUCCCUGGGAAUGGAUUUUGGAGUCAAAGUAAGAAUACCUUUUCCUUCAGCUUGGGUUUCUUGGCAUGGUUACGGGAGGUUGGUCAAGUGGGAGUGGUCAAGGACAGGCUAAGGGGCCUUGCAGCUCUAAAGACCACACCUACAGCCAGCAUGUAGGAUUCAAAUCAGGAUAAAGGUGCUGGGGCUGGAGAGGACCACAUUGUGCCAUCUAUCCCCACCAGGGACUCUUCUCCAGCCAGUUAACUCUUCAUUUGUGAAAUGUGGAUAACCACACCCAUCUGGCAAGGUCUUUGCACAGACUUGAGAAAAUGCCUGACACAUAUCAGGCCCUCGGUAACUGAUUUUGAUGAUGUCUGUGUGUCGAGUACCAAAGGUAGUGCUGGACACUGUACAUAGUAGGCUUGCCCGACUCCUGCUCUCAGAUAUCUGGUAGGGGUGACGCAGCACAGGUGUCCUCACUUUCAUGUGUCAACACCUUAAUAGGGGAAGACAACAGUUAGGUCCCCCCAGGAUGUCUUUUCUCCAGGCUAACAUAUAGCUGGCUCCUCAGCUGUUGUUCACUUGAACUGGUCCUCUCCCUACUCUGCCCAUAUGUUUGAGAUGAGCCCAAAUGUGUCAGUGCCCUCCUUAAGAUGGGAACCUGGAACUUAACACUGUUCUUCAUGAGAAAGAUCACCAGGGAAGUCCCCAUGUUUUAUUACAGACCCAUUGGAAGUUAAUACCAAGCACACUAAAUGACUUACUCCAGAGAUGCACAGUAAGAUUUCUGGAGAUAGGGGACUCAGUGAAUAAACAAAAAAUACAUUUCCUCACAGGAGGUAGGGAGGCUUCUGGGGUUCUAGAAUACUCUACUCCUUUUUUAAAAUAUUUUUUUAAAGUUUAUUUUGAGAGAGAGCAAGAAACAACAGGAGGUGUGGGACAGAGAGAGAGAGAGAUUUCGAAGCAGGCUCUGCACUGUCAGCGAGGAGCCUGAUUUGGGCCCAAACCCACAAACUGUGAGAUCAUGACCUGAGCAGAAACCAAGAGCCCAGUGUUAACCGACUGAGUCACCCAGGUGUCCCUAGAAUGUUCCAUCUCUUGACCUAGGUGAUGGUUACAUGAGUUAUCCAUUUUUUAACAUUUAUUUAUUUAUUUUUGAGAGAGAGAACCAGCACAGGAGGAGGAGGAGGGGGAGGAAGAGGAUGAGGAAGAGAGAGAGAGAGAGGGAGAGAGAGAGAGAGAGAGAGAAAGCAGGGGAAGGACAGAGAUAGAAGGAGAGAGAAAAUCCCAGGCAGGCUCCAUGCUAUUGGUGUAGAGCCCCAUGUGGAGCUCGAACUUACCUGAGCUGAAAUCAAGAGUCAGAUGCUUAACUGACUGAGCCACCAAGGAACCCUAAGGUAUUCAUUUUUUGAAUAAUUCAUUGAGCUAGACAUUUUUUUGAGCUGAACAUUUUAAAAUAACAGUUUUAUUGAGAUACAAUUCACAUAUCAUAGAAUUCAUCCAUUUAAAUUUUACAAUUUAAUAGUUUUUAGUAUAUACAGAUAUAUACAAUCACUUACUAUGGUCAAUUUUAGAAACUUUUCAUCACCACUAAAAGAAACUGUACCCUUUAGCUAUCACCUUCCUAUAGCCCCCUCCUUCUCAGACUUAAGCAAUUACUAAUCUACUUUCUGUCUCUGUAAAUUUUCCUAUUCUUCACAUUUAGUAUAAAUGGUAUAUAAUAUGUGGUCUUUUGCAACUGGCUUUUUUCAUUUAGCAUAAUAUUUUCAAGAUUCAUCUGUAUUGUGGCACAAAUCAGUACUUUAUUUUUUUUUUUUUAUGGCCAAAUAUUAUUCCAUUGUGUGGAUAUACCACUUUUAUUUAUCAAUUCAUCAGCUGGUAGAUAUUUGGGUUGUUUCCACCUUAUGGCCCUUAUGAAUAAUGGGCUAUAAGAUUAAUGUGCAAGUGUUUGUGUAGAAAUGUUUCCAUUUCUCGUGGGUAUGCACCGAGGAGUGGAAGUGUUGGGUCAUAUGAUAACCCUUUGCUAAACUUUUUGAGAAACUGCCAGAAAACAAUUUCCACAGGGGGUGCACAAUUUUACUUUCCCACGAGCAGCAUAUGAGGGUUUUGACUGCUCCACACCCUCACCAAUACUUGUUGUUAUCUGUCUUUUUGAUUAUAGCCAUCCUAGUGGGUGUGUGGUGGUAUCUCGUUGUGGUUUCAUUUGCAUUUCCCUGAUGACUAAUUAUCUUGAACAUUUUGAUUUAUGUACUUUUCUUAAUAUACGUCCUACUUUAAUAAAAAAAAAACAGUGUAUUUUUAAAAUACACUCGCUUCUUGACCCCUGAUACCCAGAAAAAUUGCUCAGUUCUGAAAAUACGGAACCCAGAACUUCUGGAGGCUAGAGAUUUUGCAUCUCCCAGAUGGAAUUCACCUCUGGGGGUAACCAAGUCAUUUUGGGACCAAGCUAGACUGGAGCUGCUCUCUUUCCCAGUAAGAAAUUUCCCCUGGAUCAUACACAGAAAGGCGCCAAAUGUACCUGUGUACAGGUAUGUAUUUUUCCCCUUAUACUCAGGUCAACUCAGGUUGUGAAAUGGAGUGGAAGGCUUGUAUUCAGACAUGGGUCAGCUAUCUGAAAGACUAUGUGGCACUGGACAAGGACUUGAGUCCUUGUCUCUUCAUCAAGGCACAAAGUCCAGGACAAGAAGAUUGAUGCACUUGAUCCAGACAUGGAACUUGAGAAGAGAAUCAUCCCUAGAUCAAAUGAAAGGUGAAGCAGACACGAUGAGCAGGUGCCCAGCCGGGCUGGACUCUGUUCACCUGUUUGACGUAUACUGGUUCUGACUUCAAAGGUGUUGAGUGAGGUGGUAAGAGCUUGGGCUUUAGAGUGAUGGGUUCUGGCUCUGCCACUUACUAAGACUGGGCAAGUGACUUAAUCAUGAAGAACCUCAGUCUCUUCAGCUAUAAAUUAGAGAUCAUAACUCCCACCCUGCAGGAUUGCUAUGAUGAGAGAUAACAUAUGAAGAGUAACUGGAUUAUAAUAGAUACUCAAUAAGUGGUAAUUAUUAAAAUCAUUACAUUUUCUGCUAUAAAUUCAAAAAGUACUUAUUGAACAUUUACUCUAUUCACCCAUCUUUUCAAACAUCGAUUCAUUCCAAAAACAUUUCUGAGCUCAAGAUUAUGCUGAGGUCAGUGAGGGGUCCUACCGAGAAAUAGAAAGCAGGCUCCUUGAGUACAAGAAACUCAAACUUUGACUGGAAAAUAAUAAAUUAGAAAAGAAUAGAAUUAUAAAAUGGAAGCCAUCACACCUUCUUGACUGUGCUGUGGGAGUUAAGUGGGUAAGCCUGCAAGCUUGGCGUCUGGCCCCAGGCAGACUUAAUGGGUAGCCCGACUAGAGUUGUAUCUUACAUGGGGAGAGAGGCAGAGUCAGCCAAUCUACUAUGCAUCUUGGAAGCAUGGGUUUUAGGUCCCCUCACCUAGAAGGGCUUCUUCCAAGGCUCUGUACCUAAUUUUGUUUUUCUUGUCUAGAGAGGCCCCCCCCCCUCCACAAAUUGCAUAAACUUCAAGACCCACAAACCCUGGAUUAUCUCUCAUGGAGGACUGAGUUUUAAAGUCAGAAGAUAAAGUAGGAACUGACAAGCUCAUGUCUCGCAGCAUGCUCUUGGAAAGCACACAGGAGAAGUGAAGAAUCAGGAUUCCCUGAGAUCUGAAAGGAAGGUAUGAAUCAAGUCAAGCUGAACAGUGGAGCAAGAAUUUGAAAGUUGGAAGCUUCUUGGACUAAGAAAAGAUAAAAGUGCCAGGUGGUGAGGAAUGUGAGGGCAGGGAACUAUACUUUAAACAGAAUACUCAUACAAUUUUCACAUUACAUGUGCAAGAAUAGUGUAUAAUGCAUAAUGGUGGAACCAUGUUUGGAGUCACACUGAUCUGGGCUCUACUUAUUUGAACUCCAUGACUUAGGACAGGUCAAGGAACAUCUUAGAAUUUCAGUUUCAUUUGUAAAUCAUAAUAGUAAUACUUAUCUCGAAAGUAUUACUUUUGGAAUUUUAAGUUAUAAAAUUAGGGAGAUAUUUUUCUGAAAAUGAUUUGUAAACUGUAAAGAGUUCUGUUUACCAAUAUUGGUUCUAAUUCAUUUUGCUCACACUGUAGAAAGAAUGUCCUUGUUCACCAACCUGAUAAUAGUGGAAGGACCCUUAGGGGGAAAACAAACAAAGAAACAAACAAACCCAGCUCUGGUACUCUCAGAGUAAAAGCUCCAGCUUAUUACAUACUUGUGAGCAAUUCCCUAAUUUCUCCAAUCCUCAGUUUCUCUAUCUAAAUCAUGAAAGUUAUUAUACUUUGCCUUUAAACACCAGUGAGGUAAUAUCUUGAUCAGAUUUAUCUUUAAGUUCCUUGGGAGGAAAUAAAUGAAAAUAUCCAAUUCACUUUCCUUAUUCGGACCUUUACUAGAAUUUGGAAAGGAGACUCUCUCAAGCCUUUGAGCAAUGGGGAAGACCGCUGAGUGCCACAACCCACCUUGGGCUGGACUGUAAUGAGAAGGACAAUUGAUUGAGUGCUAGCUGUUGGACAUAUGGUUUUGCCUCAGCCUCGUAACAGGCUAGUAUGUUUGACAUUACGGCUUAUAUUAUACAGAUGAGGAAAAUGGGGCUCAGAAUAUUUGAGCAAAUACUUCAGUUCCCACCUCUAGUAAAUGGAGGAGCAGAACGUCAGACCCAGAUCAAUGCUGGAACCUCCUUUUCCUGGUGUCCCCAGUUGACCUGCAGCUCCUUUGUGUCCAGGACAAGGAGGAUUGAACCUAUGUUCUACAGGAAGUCAGGCCUGUGACAGGUAAGAUGACAUGAGGCUAAGCCUCUUGUAGACUCUGGCACAGUGUGAAAUUGCUAGUUAUUAUUUUUAAAGCAGAGAGAAACUUUCCACCCAUGCUCUUACAGAGGCAGUUGGCUUCAAGGUCUGAUGGUUUUUGUCACCCUUGCCUUUUCUAGAUCAGUGUCCAAAGUAAGAGACUCUGUCUUCCUGUAUGUUGUGGCUGUUUCUGUUAAGCAGUGUCUUCAAAGGUCUAAUGAAGGAGGCCACCAUGGUGCCUGCAUGUCACAGAAAGAAUGUGGGCUCACAUCUUCACAAUGGCAGAGAUAGGUACAAAAGCAAAGACCACAUCAAUUUUGGAGCAUUUCCACCUGUGAUGUUUGACAUCCUUCAGGCACGGUCUGAGAGAGGGACUGGACCAGCAUCUUCUGAACAUUGUAUUGUGGGGGAAAGACACAGAUAUGAGGAGCUCUUCCCCCUGCAGAUACACCUGUGGCAUGAGCCACCCUUCCCCCAUCCCCUAAGGCAGAGUCUCCUCUCCAUCCCGUGCACACCCUUGUUGGUUUAUAGGUCCCCACUAUUAGAUGAGUAAUAAACAGUGGGAUAUAAGCUUCCCUUCUGGCCAAUCCCAAAGCUAAAGUAACAUGUUCAAACACCCUGUUAUUAUUAUUACCAAUGAUAAUAAGAGGAAUAAUGAGCAAGAAUUGCUUUUAUUAAAUAAAUCAGGAAAAUGCACUUUACAACA
This is a long non-coding RNA of Neofelis nebulosa (Clouded leopard), 11978 nucleotides long. RefSeq lists it as uncharacterized. The transcript is spliced from 3 exons. Lineage: Eukaryota; Metazoa; Chordata; Mammalia; Carnivora; Felidae. The record is from RefSeq and is a predicted model, not a curated record.